GGUGUCGCUGUUUUUUUCCCAGUACUGUUACUAUGGAAAACAACACCGGAAGUGCUUCAGCUCUCGCCUGAUGUGAUUGGUCGAGGUGGGUGCCACUCAAAUCUCUCCCCAACCAAUCAGCGACGACCUCCACCGCCAUCAGCGUCACCGCCUCCUCGAAACCGCUAUUUGCAGCAGGAGAGAAAAAAAAAGCGGAGGCUCGUUUCUUUUUCCUUUUUUCCCAAAAAAUAUUUUGCGGUUUGCGGCUUUUUUCCUUUUUUUCUUUCCUGGUUCGGGAGAAGAAGUGAGCGGGAGGAGUGCGCCCGUCUCUCGUCCUGCCGUCGUCAUGGCGCAGAGGCGACUUUGAAGCCGAAAAUAAAAAUGCGUCCCCGGAGCGUUUGAACCUGUUCCCUCCCGCAGCCCCGCACAAAGCCUGUGGACCAGGCCCGUGUUUUCUCCACGCACCGGGACGCCGACGAUGCUCGAACAAUGUCGGGGAAUCACUACAAAGGGCACGAAGUCAGCUGCUGCAUCAAAUACUUCAUUUUUGGAUUCAACAUCCUGUUCUGGCUGCUGGGCAUGGCCUUAGUGGGCAUCGGACUGUGGGCAUGGAGUGAGAAGGGGGUUCUGUCCAACAUCUCGUCCAUCACGGAUCUGGGGGGUCUGGACCCGGUCUGGCUCUUCAUGGUGGUGGGCGGGGUCAUGUUCAUCCUGGGCUUCGCCGGAUGCAUCGGGGCGCUGAGGGAAAACACGUUCCUGCUCAAGUUUUUCUCCGUGUUUCUGGGAAUCAUCUUCUUCCUGGAGCUGACGACGGGGGUGCUGGCGUUCGUCUUCAAGGACUGGAUUAAAGACCAGCUCAACCUGUUCAUCAACAACAACAUCCGGGCGUAUCGGGACGACAUCGACCUGCAGAACCUUAUUGACUUCACUCAGGAAUAUUGGGAAUGCUGUGGUGCGUUUGGAGCGGACGACUGGAACCUGAACAUCUACUUUAACUGCACUGAUGGAAAUCCCAGCCGGGAGAAAUGUGGCGUUCCCUUCUCCUGCUGCACCAAGGACCCAGCGGAGGAUGUGAUCAACACCCAGUGUGGAUACGACGUCCGAGCUAAACCCGACGCGGAGCAGAAGGAUCACAUCAACGUGAAAGGCUGUGUGCCGCAGUUUGAGAAGUGGCUGCAAGACAACCUCACCUUAGUGGCCGGGAUCUUCAUCGGAGUAGCUCUGCUGCAGAUUUUUGGAAUUUGUUUGGCCCAGAACUUAGUGAGUGACAUCGAAGCCGUGAGGGCGAGCUGGGUGCCCCCCCCUCUCUUCAUGCGCCGACUCCCACCACCACACUCCAGCAAGAAAGCGUCGGCUUACUACUCAUGAGAGGCGCACACAUGCUGCAUGUGUGUGUUUGUUUGCUGCUUCUUUACCUAAAGCCGAGGCAGCGUUUCCAUUCUAACAGCUCCAUCCUUGAACUCGCCAUCGGGGAGCGUUUGGAAGAACCUGUCACUUGCACCAUUUCCCUCACUGAACCAGCACCUUUUAGCAAGGCACUAAUGUGUUAAACAGCUCUGUAUAUAUAUAUACACACACACAUAUAUAUGUAUACAUAUAUACAUACACUGUGCGUGACUACUGUAAGGGAAAAAAAGGAGAAAAGGAUGGUUUGACGUGCCCUACAUGCGGUUUUGUCGUGUAGGGAGUAGGAGUUUUGAUAAACCUUUUGAUAUUAGAUCUGUAUUUUUCACUAGUGGAAACUCAUGACCCGUCACUAAACUAAACACAUCGUAGAGGACUGCGAAUCUGUGCCUACGAGAAGCCGAGGCAUUUUUAAUUUUUUUUUUUUUUAACUGACGCACUGUACGAAGGCGUCGCAAAGAAACUUGCACUACAUGAUUCAAGUAGUCUCUAGGAACCUGAACACAGCUGUUGUUGCACUAACCAUGAAUUUACCACGGUCCCGGUCGUCUUCAGUGGAUGUUUAGUUGAAUUAAUUAAAUGGAGGAGUAUAGUAAUAGUAGUAGUAGUAGUAGUACCACGGUUUGGACGACCAGUAGUUGAUUUCUUUACCCCUCAGGUUCAAACUGUCCUGUCAACGCUACUAGACUAGAAACAAUGUCCCUGCAAAUAUACAGACAAAUACAUCUGAAGGUAGUAGAAGGUUGCGGCAGGAGGUUUUCUAAAUUGCGGCAAAACCUGUGAGCAACUAGCGAGGUGUACUACCUACACCUACUCAGCGUAGAAAAGGUUUCCUUCUAGAUUAGUGAUGCACUGAUCAGGCAUGACAUCAUGACCACCUUCCUAAUGUUGUCACGGUCUCCUAUGUGACUCCACAACAGACGGGACUCAUCAGGGAAUGGACGUGGGACUUCUGAGGGUUGUUAGCAGAGGGUCUUUGGGUCCUGUGGGUUCCUACGGAUACUUGAUCAGUUUGGGAUCUAGUGAAUUUGGAGGACAGGUCAACACCUUGACCAUGUUGGCCCAUUGCCCCUUUCCCGGUAACUAGUCUUCAAGAGCUGUGUUUGGUCCACUUGGUAGUAGCGCAUUUCCUCUUUAGUAUCUCCACCUGCUUCUCCAUCUUCACCAAUUGUCAAAUUCAUUGUCAUGGAUUAAUAAAGAUGGAACACGUGGAGGAAAGGUUAGCGGAGGAGGUUCCAAGGUACAAACAUUCGUACGACUCGGCUUCUACGAAAGUUUCAAAUUUGCCGUUGUUGAAAGUGAAGCAGGAAGUAGAUACAAAUAUUAACCGACUGUCAAAAAAAAAAAGACUUUGUGGAGUUGUUGUAGAGUGAGCCAGACUUACGAGGCUACGUACAUAGAUUACAGCGUCUAUGUCACCUCCACUGAGCCUUAACAUCCUAACGAAUGCCAGGUCCAAAUGUUUCCCAGCAGAACACUGAACUGUCACAAGAUGGUUUAAACGUCAGUAACUUCUUCCAUCGGUGGUCAUAAUGUUGUGGCUGAUCAGCGAGUGUUGUACUUUUGAAUUCGUUGCCUGGUACGACGCCCCACUGAAGAAUAACCAGGGUUCAUUCUCCGUCCCGUUCACACCACGUUGUCACCGUAAAGUUUUCCAGUCGCCUUUUAUCUCCCGUUGUAUAUAAAGUGUGUUUGAGGCUACGCUAACGUUUAUAGCCGUUCAUCCCUCUGACGUCUGUCUGUGAAGGUUCUCAGUCAUCCAGGGUCACGGUGGCGUUUCCAGAGACAUUAAAGACACGCAACUUUAAAGUCUGUGGAUGCACCACACUUUACAUUAUUAGUAUUAUUAUUAUUAUUACUUUUACUACUACAGCCAGGAAGCUAAUAUUAGAACCAUGAGUAUUAGAGCAUCAUUAGAGGAUUUUUAAGACAUUGUUUUUUUUUUCACAUUUUCUUUACUACAGCAUUCAUGCACUUAAGCAGAUUUUGACACAGAUCUGAUCAACGCAAUGAACGAGAAGCUGAAAUCUGAGACCACAAGAUAAAAACGUUUUUACUGUUUUGAUUUAAAGUGAUGAUCUGAACUGAGCCUGCAUUUGCAGUAAAGUGUUGUUUUUGAGAAAUAUUAAGCUACUUUAAAAGGUACCAACACUGUUUUUUUGUUUUAUACUAAAUAUUUAUUAAUUUGGUUUUCCGACACUGAAAACGUUCAGCAUUGCCGAAGCAGAUUUGCUUUUGGAGGUUUGGAGGAUGUAAAAUGUUUUUCUAACGAGGGUCACGCCGUAAAGACCGCUCACUCGUCCACUACCACCCGUCCCCACUAGCGUUCACCGAUUGUCCCACGAGCAUUGUACUGUAACUACCUCUUCUCAUCUUCCUGUCUCAUGUCCUGUUAAAAGAAGAAAAAAUUGGCCUGAUUUUAAUAUCAAGUCAAAUUAAUUAAUAAAGCAGACAAAAACAC
RNA transcript from Mugil cephalus (flathead mullet), 3844 nucleotides. It is a transcript of the gene named tetraspanin 5a, with no coding region annotated. The record is from RefSeq and is a predicted model, not a curated record. NCBI's taxonomy places the organism in Eukaryota, Metazoa, Chordata, Actinopteri, Mugiliformes, Mugilidae. The transcript is spliced from 11 exons.